UACGAAGGGGGCGAGCGUUAUUCGGAAUCACUGGGCGUAAAGCGUGCGUAGGCGGUUUUGAAAGUUGGAAGUGAAAGCCCAGGGCUCAACCCUGGAAUUGCUCUCAAAACUACAAGACUCGGAUUCGGGAGAGGAUAGCGGAAUUGUCAGUGUGGCAGUGAAAUGCGUAGAUAUUGACAGGAACACCAGUGGCGCAAGCGGCUAUCUGGACCGACAUCGACGCUGAGGCACGAAAGCGUGGGGAUCAAACAGG
This 253-nucleotide ribosomal RNA is filed under the name uncultured bacterium. RNAcentral describes it as "partial 16S ribosomal RNA". It matches the Rfam family "Bacterial small subunit ribosomal RNA", at positions 524 to 776 of the family's 1533-position model. The record is from RNAcentral.